Molecule: transfer RNA, 67 nt
Filed under: Marmota monax (woodchuck)
Lineage: Eukaryota; Metazoa; Chordata; Mammalia; Rodentia; Sciuridae
Rfam family: tRNA
About the family: Transfer RNA (tRNA) molecules are approximately 80 nucleotides in length. Their secondary structure includes four short double-helical elements and three loops (D, anti-codon, and T loops).
Source: Rfam by way of RNAcentral
GCUGUAGCUCAGUGGUAGAGCACUUGCUAGUGGGCCAGAAGCCCUGGGUUCAAUUCCCAGUACUGCA